This is a non-coding RNA of Thozetella sp. PMI_491, 81 nucleotides long. Lineage: Eukaryota; Fungi; Ascomycota; Sordariomycetes; Chaetosphaeriales; Chaetosphaeriaceae. The record is from the annotation of a GenBank genome assembly.
GGCAGGAUGGCUGAGUGGUUAAGGCGCCAGAUUUGGGCCCUGGUUCCCUCGGGAGCGUGGAUUCAAAUCCCACUUCUGUCA